UGGACUUGAAAUUUUCCAGGUGUGUAGAACAUCACACUCCCAACAUAUGAUAUUUUUUAGAAUUUUUUUGAAACUUUUAAACAUGAUUUUUAUGAAGUUUGCACGGUUUUGCACUGAACGAGGGUUUUCACCGGAUACUUCCCCACAUUUUUAUUUUACUUUAUUUUAUUACGAUGAAGCACAUUUUUAUUGACCAGUUGUCGCCAGACUAAGUGGUUCUAAGAGCUUAAUGCAGUUUUUGCACUAGAAAAGUCAUCUCCACGUGGAUUACUUCCAUUCCUCAUGGUUCUGAGUUGUUGGCACGGUAAAACAAUUUUCACCGCUGGAUGUUGUCCUCUCUAAAAUUGCACCUUGACAUCCUACAUCAUUUUAUCUUCCUUACAAAAUCCAACCAACCGAGGGCCAGAGCCAAGCAUGGGUAUGCACUUUUUAUUUAUACAACAGACACUACUACAAAACGGUUUAUAUGCAACGGCACAUCAGUAACGGGUCCGACGCGACCGUUACUGAUGAACAACAUCAGUGUCGGUCGCGGCCGCGACCAUUACUGAUGAACAGAGCGGGCUCUACCCGUCCCCGCCCAGCCAUACAU
Molecule: long non-coding RNA, 592 nt
Filed under: Brachypodium distachyon (stiff brome)
Lineage: Eukaryota; Viridiplantae; Streptophyta; Magnoliopsida; Poales; Poaceae
Description: long non-coding RNA (BDIS_LNC000125)
Source: RNAcentral